Molecule: ribosomal RNA, 253 nt
Filed under: uncultured bacterium
Lineage: Bacteria
Description: partial 16S ribosomal RNA
Rfam family: Bacterial small subunit ribosomal RNA
Source: RNAcentral
UACAGAGGUCUCAAGCGUUGUUCGGAUUCAUUGGGCGUAAAGGGUGCGUAGGCGGCGCGGUAAGUCGGGUGUGAAAUCUUGGAGCUUAACUCCGAAACUGCAUUCGAUACUGCCGUGCUUGAGGACUGGAGAGAAGACUGGAAUUUACGGUGUAGCGGUGAAAUGCGUAGAUAUCGUAAGGAAGACCAGUGGCGAAGGCGGGUCUCUGGACAGUUCCUGACGCUGAGGCACGAAGGCUAGGGGAGCAAACGGG